This 337-nucleotide unclassified non-coding RNA is filed under the name soil metagenome. Its description in RNAcentral is "partial contains 5.8S ribosomal RNA, internal transcribed spacer 2, and large subunit ribosomal RNA". The stretch from base 1 to 120 matches the Rfam family "5.8S ribosomal RNA", at positions 35 to 154 of the family's 154-position model. The record is from RNAcentral.
GAUGAAGAACGUAGCGAAAUGCGAUAAGUAGUGUGAAUUGCAGAAUUCAGUGAAUCAUCGAAUCUUUGAACGCACAUUGCGCCCCAUGGUAUUCCGUGGGGCAUGCCUGUUCGAGCGUCAUUUUCCCCCUCAAGCUCCGCUUGGUGUUGGGCGUCUGUCCCGCUUCGCGCGCGGACUCGCCCCAAAGGUAUUGGCAGCGGUCGUGCCAGCUUCUCGCGCAGCACAUUGCGCUUCUCGAGGCACCGGUGGGCCCGCGUCCAUCAAGCUCACCCCCCCAGUUUGACCUCGGAUCAGGUAGGGAUACCCGCUGAACUUAAGCAUAUCAAUAAGCGGAGGA